Molecule: ribosomal RNA, 492 nt
Filed under: uncultured bacterium
Lineage: Bacteria
Description: partial 16S ribosomal RNA
Rfam family: Bacterial small subunit ribosomal RNA
Source: RNAcentral
AGUGAACGCUGGCGGUAGGCCUAAUACAUGCAAGUCGAACGGCAGCACAGUAAGAGCUUGCUCUUACGGGUGGCGAGUGGCGGACGGGUGAGGAAUACAUCGGAAUCUACUUUUUCGUGGGGGAUAACGUAGGGAAACUUACGCUAAUACCGCAUACGACCUACGGGUGAAAGCAGGGGAUCUUCGGACCUUGCGCGAUUGAAUGAGCCGAUGUCGGAUUAGCUAGUUGGCGGGGUAAAGGCCCACCAAGGCGACGAUCCGUAGCUGGUCUGAGAGGAUGAUCAGCCACACUGGAACUGAGACACGGUCCAGACUCCUACGGGAGGCAGCAGUGGGGAAUAUUGGACAAUGGGCGCAAGCCUGAUCCAGCCAUACCGCGUGGGUGAAGAAGGCCUUCGGGUUGUAAAGCCCUUUUGUUGGGAAAGAAAAGCAGCAGGUUAAUACCCCGCUGUUCUGACGGUACCCAAAGAAUAAGCACUGGCUAACUUCGUG